Molecule: unclassified non-coding RNA, 308 nt
Filed under: fungal sp.
Lineage: Eukaryota; Fungi
Also listed under: 1 other name
Description: partial internal transcribed spacer region
Rfam family: Eukaryotic small subunit ribosomal RNA (bases 1-46)
Source: RNAcentral
AAGUCGUAACAAGGUUUCCGUAGGUGAACCUGCGGAAGGAUCAUUACCAAAUCCAAAUCCCUUUAACCCCAUGUGAACUAUUGUUUAAUGUUUUUUGUCUUUUGGGAGGGAGCUUUAUAGUGCAAAAGAGAAUUAAAAAGCUUUUUUUAACACUAUUUUCCUCCCAAAAGAAAGUAAUUAGAAAUAAAUUUCCUUUCUAAGGAUUUUUACUUCUAAUUUUAAAAACAACUUUUAAAAAAUUAUUUGGAAUUUUUUAUAAUAAAAAUUAUAAUAAAAAACAACUUUUAACGGUGGAUCUCUUGGCUCGU